Long non-coding RNA from Sphaerodactylus townsendi, 117 nucleotides. RefSeq lists it as uncharacterized. NCBI's taxonomy places the organism in Eukaryota, Metazoa, Chordata, Lepidosauria, Squamata, Sphaerodactylidae. The record is from RefSeq and is a predicted model, not a curated record. The transcript is spliced from 3 exons.
ACUGCAAUACAGUGGUACCUCGAAAAUCGAUGCCUUCGACAAUCGUCGAUUUCAGAAAUCGACGAUUGCCAGGCGCCAAUUUUCACUCACUCAAGAAAAUCAACCAUUGCCAGGCGC